UAAAUCAAGCUUAGAUCUAUCACUUUAUGAAUACGAUGUGCUUCUAUUCAACACAUAUAUUUUAGCCUCCUCUAACACGAUGGCACAUUGGCAUCAACUCUAUUCAGUUUAAAACAUAUACUCAAUCUCAUCUUGACUAGUAACUAUUCCUCAUCCUCCUAUCAAGAGUUCUCUACAACAUUAUUAUUCCUUAUUCGACUCAUAAAGGAAAUUAUCACUUAUAAUUGACUGGGUGCAUGAUUGCAAUAACAUAAUCGGCCUCAUCACUAUCUCAUUUUCAUAGAUCUCUUUACCUCUGCAUACUUUCCUCUAACUCUGGGCAAUUUUACUACUACUGCUCGUGACCUCGUAACUCGUGCUACCUUUUCGAGCAAAAAUACUACCCAAGCUUUAAACAUACUUCCUCAUAAGGAUCUCAGCUGAAACAAGGCUUAGGGAAGAAAGUGCAACUCAUUUUUAGCUUUAACGCAUGAUUCAUAUGAACAUGAGCGCAUUCCUUUGAAACUCAACACUUAACUCACUCUUGGGCUUCUCUCAAACCCCUCUGGAGUCUCAUGACUUCCUCAAGAUUUUGCUAAGAGAAACUCAUUGAUAAAGAACUAAAUUUUCUUUUCAACCACCGCUAGCAUGAGGGGUAGUCGAAUGGAUAUGAGAACGCACGAGUUAGAAUAAGUCCCUAUGACAUAGCUCUAUUGCAUGAUUAAGAGUAUGAAAGAAGGAAAACUUUUCUUAAAUGUCUAUAGUCCCUCAUUUAUAGAAGUGGGGCCCUCACAACCAUAAAUAAGAUCCAACUUGACACGACUUCUUACACACCCUAGGACACUUGAACUAUGUGCUUUGAUACCAAGUUUGUCACGACCCGAGUCUAUAUCUUGGAUGUGGCUGGCACUCGAGAACCAUUGUUGGUCACCAAGCGAACCCUCAUUCUGGCUGACUACAAGCAGAAGACUAACUCAAGCAUACAAAAGCUUAAAAACUGAAUUAAAUUCAAAUAUCAACUUUAAAAUAAUAUAAACAAUACUGAAUAGAUAACUCUGAAUAAAAAUAACAUAUUCAACUGGCUAUAAAUAGGCAACUUAAGUCUUUAAAAUAUUUAACAAAAUAAAUCAACAUACUUCUGAGACUCUAUUGUGUAUCUAUGAAACCUCUAACUUACAAAGAUAGAAGUUGGGACAAGACUCAUGACAUCCUAACAACUGAUAUAACAAAAAGUACAAGUGGGACCCUUCAAAAAUAAGGAGGCUCACCAUAGCUAACUCGAACUGCAUGUGGCAUCAACGAAGGGCCUGUUGAUGAUCCUGAAUACCUGUAUCUACAUCUUGAAACGAUGCAGGCCAAAUGGCUCAGUACGUGGAAUGUACGAGCAUGUAAGGGGAAUUCUAACGCAUAACAUAAGCUUGAACUUGAUAAAAAAGAAACAUACUUACCUCUUCUCAACUCAAGAAUAAGAUACUCAACUCAAAGAUAAGAUAUUCAACUCAGUAAAAUAAGGCUCAACCUAAUAAUAAGAUAUUCAACUCAGUGAAAUAAGGCUCAACUCAAUAAUAGGAUAUUCAACUUAGUGAAAUAAGGCUCAACUCAAUAAUAAGAUAUUCAGCUCAGUGAAAUAAUGCUCAACACAAUAAUAGGAUAUUCAACUUAGUGAAAUAAGACUCAACUCAAUAAUAAGAAAUUCAACUCAGUGAAAUAAGGCUCAACUCAACAAUGAGAUAUUCAACUCAAUGAAAUAAGGCUCAACUCAACAAUAAGAUAUUCAACUCUGGGUACUCAACUCUGGAUACUUAACUCUGGAUACUCAACUUUGGAUACUCAACUCAAUAUAAAGCAACAAUAUAGAUGCAAUAUAUUGAAAGCUUUUAAAACAACGGAAAGUAGCUCAAUGUAUUGAGAAAUUCAAUAGUAACUCAGUUUGUAUGCAAGGAUACAAUAUAAACUAUAUUUGUAUAUAAAAAUACAAAAUAAACUCCGUGUAUAUAAAAAUAUCAAAAUAUCUCUGUGUAUUCGAGAAUACAAAAUAUCUUUGUAUAUUAAACUAUACAAAAUAUCUUUGUGUAUUAAAGAAUACAAAAUAUCUCUGUGGGAGUUUCUCUAACCGACAACCAUCACUAUGAGCUAUGUGAUGAUACAACAUUUUGCCUCACGCCACCAAGGCCGUCCUAUACCAUGUCGGGGGUAUAUAACCUAACUACUAUGUGGAUCUGCUAGUCUAUGCUAAAAAGCACUAAGGAAUCAUCUAAUAAGUAUGACCCUUUUCUAAAAAGGUUGAAUAAUUGAAGUAUGACUUUUAGUUAUUUUGGGUCUUUACUACUGAUGAAGACAACAGAGGAACUCAGGAGGUCAAUUGAAUUCUUCAUACUAAUAAGUUAUGUGAUGAUAUUAUAUGUCAAUAUUAUAAUAGAUAUUUGUGUGACAAAUUAAGGCAUCAUGUCCUUAAUAUAGAAUAAGAUUUGGAGAAGUGAUAAUCCCGCUAAGAAAAAUUAAUUUGUGUAAGCGGAUGAUAUAAAUUGUUGUGGUCAUUUCUCAAGCGAAUCUUGUGGCUAAUAAUAUGUGAAAGUGAAAAAUUGGGUGUUAGAUUUUUUGUGUUGUUGAGUACAUUUGUGCUAACUAAAAUUAUUGUGUCCUACACCCAAAUUGAAGAAGAAGAAAAAAUUAUAUAUUUUGGUGAUUUUAGAACUAAUUGAAGUUUUUAGAAUGAAAAAUUCUUCUUAAAUAUUCACAUCUAUAUAUUGUCAUUAUCUGAGGUGGUAUAUGAUUUUAAUAUUUGUGCUAGAUUGGUACUUAUGAAAUAGUUAUGAGGAAAAGUUGAGCGGAAAUUUUAUGUGACUUUGAUGAUAUGUUAAUAGUAUUUUUUUGAUGUAUUGUGACCAUGACCAACAGAUCAUCUCUACACUAGAGAAAAAUUUGAUGUGAAACUUAGAGGAAAGAAAUGAAAAGCAUUUUUGCUUCUUAAAUUGCCAUCUAACUGUGGUCAUGUACAUGAGCAUAUUUUUCUGUUAGCCUGCCUUUCUAUAACCAUUGUGGUGCUUAUGCUUGUGUAUGGUUUGAUUGUUGUGGAUUUCUUGGCGAAAUGGCUAGAUCUUGAAUAUGUAAUUAAUCUUAAUAGUCAUAUUAUUAUUUUGAAUUUAAGGUUAUUUAAUGACUCUUAUGUGAUGAAAAUGUUUUCUUGUUUCUAAUGAAUUGACAUUUCAAUAUUAACUUUUCAAUUUAAUUUUUGAGAAGUGUUCUGCUAUAUGGUCAUAUUAUUCUUUUGAAUUUAAGAUUAAUUAUGAUUUUUAUUAUGUGUUAAUAUUAAAAUAUUAAAAAAGGUGAGAUGACCUUUUCUUUGCCCCUAUAUAUGUUAGUUUUCUCCAUUUUGAGAGAGUAUAUAAAUUAAGAGAAAUGAAAAGUUUUUUUUUUUUGGAUUUAAUCUCUCUAUUAUGAAAUAUUUAAAAAUGUAGGGGUUUCUUGCUUAGGUUAUGAGUGUUAUACCUCUAUAUAUUAUGAAAUAUUUGAAAGUGUAGGUGUAUGGUACUAAGAUUGUGCUACAUGAUCUUAAGAAAAGAAAAAUAUAGGAUCCAAAUUUUUUUAUGGUAUAUAUGCUAAUAUAAUGUUUCAUAUACAUAUUUGUGGUAAUGAGUUGUGAUGUGAUAAAAUGCAAUAUUAGAGUUGAAAAGUAAAUAAAGUAUUGUUGAAUUUUUAAAAAGUCAUAAUAUUACUCAUCAUGUUCUUGUUGUUGAAUAUGAUAUUGCUUCUUGAUGCAUUAUUUUGGAAAGAAGUCAUUGGUGAUACAUGAGAGCUACCACAAGUAUAAUUCCCAAUAAAUUAGAGAUUUUGUUGUACUAGAGGGGUACAAUGACGGUUACAAAAUAAUUAUUGGUUAAUAGAAGUUCUAUACUUCACCAAUUAUUUUGUAAGUUUAAUCUUGUUUUAUCUCCUUAAUAUACCAUUUGAGAUAUGUAGGGGAUUGUUGGAGAAAUGAUUCUAAUAUCUCAAAAGGAAUUAUUUUUCCUAUUAUACUUGAAAGAAAAUAUUAUUUUAUGUCAAUUUAGUUGUUAUCUUUAUUUCCAUAUAUUCUAAUAUUGGUAGCUAUAUCACAAUAUUAAUUAUUAUAAUUACUCCUCCAUUAAUCACUCAUUGUUGACCGUUGGAGCAUUGAUGACAUUGAAUCAUUAUUUGUCAUUAGAGCAAUUGAUUAGAAUUACUAUUGUUGUCCUAAACGGUCUUUCAAAACUCAUUUUCUGGCUGAAUCCUCUUCUUAUAUAAAGUGUCAUCACAUCUUGUUUUUGAGUGAGACAAAGUGAAGUAUACAAAUAUUAUUUCUCCAAGAUUCUUGUGCUGGGUUUUAUAUUAAAGAAUCUUUGUCAGUUUCUGGCUCCUAAUUUUCUAUUAGAAGAGCUUGUUGAAUCUUGGGGGAUACACCUAUACCGGGUGAAAUAUCCUUAAGGACAGUAUUUUUUGAUACGCCUCAAGCUAUGAGAAUUUCCUAUAAGAGUUAUUGGUGAAGUACAAGCUUUGGUGAAUUCGGUACAAGUGUUCGUGAUGAAGGUAUUUUUCGUAAGAUUUCCAACACUUUUAGAUUUGCAUCCCUAACAUUUUUACACUUUCCAUGGUAAUAGCUUGAGCAAUCACCUAUGUAUCCCCUCUCUGUUCUGUCUUCUCCGGUGGAUUAUGAGAACAACCAUUGACCACCUUAAUUUUGUCACCGUUUCAUAUUAAAGUUAUGUUUAACGGUGUGUUUAAAAUUUUUGGAGGUAGAAAAUGAUUGCAAUGGAGUUAUAUUAUAUUAUAUAUGAAUUGGUAGAUAAUUAUAUUAUUUCUACAUUGAUUACCAAUGAAGUCUUAUUGUUGGAGGUAGGAGCUUAAUAUUUUUUAAUAAUAAUAUUCACCAGUAAUACGUGUACAUAGGGUGCUUGAAGUUGAUAAGAGAUUGAAAAUAUUACGAUUCUCUAUAAAUUAGGUCAACAUGUUGUUACUUCUCUCUUUGCACAAUUGAAAUUGAUUGAGCAUUUUAACAAAAUUAUUAUUCAUAUUGUCAUAUUUACAAAGUAUAUAUCCGCUAGCUUCACUUGUGCUUGGAUUUUUGUGCUGGAAGAUUAAGCUAAAUGUUAUUAAGAAGUAAGAAGUUUUCUAAACAUCAGACAAUUUGUGUAUUUUAAAUCAAUACCUUUUAUAACUACGUAUCAUCUACAAACUUUUUAUUUAGUCUCGAGUUAGUUAUAACUAUUUAAACACGAUAUUGGUCUUUUAUACUUCUCAUAAAAUAUAAUUUAGUAGUUUGAUUGAAUAAGAGAUGCAAAGUUUCUCUUUACCAUUUGAAUGGACAAGUCAAACGAGAGGUUUACUUUUACUAUCUAAUAAAUUAGUAAUUCCUCUUUUUUCAUUGUAUCUAUAAUUAUAUCGACAAGAAGUUCAUGUAAGUUUUGGGUUGUGGGUUGCCCAUGUGGACCGAUCCGAUCCGAUCUGAACCGACCCAAAAUUAUUUUCUGUAAAAUGGAUAAGUGAUAAUUUAAAAAAGGGGUGGGAAUAGUUACAUAGUAACUGCUCCAAUGUAAGCAAUCCAUUUUUUUAAAUAUAAGUUUUACGCUCUUCAGAAAGAAAAGAAAAAAAAAACAAACAAACAGAAAACUCAACAAAAUGUAACAUUUUCUUCUAAGACAAAAAGACAUCCAACAAAAGAGGCAUUUAGUUUGUGAAGCACAAUCUUUGUUUCCUAGUGAUACAAAGAUGGAUUUGGAGUGUAACACUCUGCUACUAGAAAGACUUGGAAUUUGAAAGAAACCGUAUUUGGAAAUAAUCAAAUUUGGAAAGUUUGGCAAAGUUAAGUUAAGUAUGAGUUUUUGGUAGACUUCAAACGAAUAUAACUCCUAGCUCAGGAUUAUUUAGGUUUUCUACAAGAUACCGUAGGAAAGAUCUUUGAAUUAUCUUUCCAACGCCGCCGAGAUUGAUAAAUUUUGAGUUCGUAUGAGUGAGAUAUGCUCAUUUGAAGUUGGGUUGUCUAGAUAAGGAAAGUCAAAACCAGGUUUUAGAAGGGUAUUAUGAUUUUUUCACUACCAAAUUAAUUAAAUUCAUUUUUGGUAAAUAAGUUGGGGUCUUAACUGAUUGGAUUCAGUUUAUGCUUCACAAAAAUAAGUUAGGGUUUUGAGAGAAGAGAAAAAAGAGGAGAAAAGAGGAGGAAAGGAGAAGAAAAGUUCAAGAUUCGUCAAGUUCUUGCGAGUUUGGUUGUGGAUUUUGCCAAGGAUUCAUGUGAUUUCACAUAUCGUUGGGUUCAUUCACCCACGCGCCAAACAUGUUUAUUUCGGUAUGAUUUUCAUCCUAAAAGGUUGAGACUUUGAUGUUCUUGGGUUGUGCUUUUGAAUUGCUUUCGUUCUUAAAUUUGGGACGAGAUUGAGGAGUUCUUGAGAAUUUAGGGUCGAUUGUUAGAGUUGUUUUAAGUUAGAUUCUUGUGUACAUAUAUUGGAUAUCUGGAUCUAAAGAGAAUUUGAGAAAAAGAAUUGAGUUUAGGCGAAUUGGGGUUAGAAAAUGAAAAAGGAAAAAGUCAGGCGAAUCUGGGUACCAGGUCCGCGUCACGGACCUGUUCCUCACGAUUGGGGAAUUUUUCUCGGUGUCACGGAGCGUUCACAGACCGUUCUGCCACAAAAUUUAUUUCAUGACCAAAUAUUUAAAUGCAUCUCAGCGUCGCGGACUUGCUUCCAGACAGUGAUUUCUUGAUCGUUUCUCAUGUUUAACUAUCUAAAAACACUCCUAAACAUCAUGAGAUCUUUCCUAUCACAGAUCACAAUCCUUGAAUACAUAAAUUCAAAUUCAAGGAAAGUUAAGCGCCAAGUCAAGAGAAGUUCAUAGAAUCUUCCAAAAGUAUUUUACAAAUGUUUUAACUUUGUUUUAAGACCUGAGUUUUGAGUUGAGUAAAGAGUAAAGAUUUGAAGUUCAUUUCUUCAAAAGAGUAUAUCGGGACUAUGUAUUCUCAAAGAGUAAAAUGUUUUCACAUUUAAACAAGAAAGAAACUGAGAUUUCCAAAAGAGCCUUUGAGCUAGUUUUCAAUAAAGAGUAAAUGCUUUCAUAAUUAAGCAAGAGAGGAAACUUUGAUUUCCAAGAGAGCCUUUGAGCUAAGUUUUGAGAAAUUAUCUCAAACCACAAAAGGAAGUUAUGUUUUUAAACAUAAGAGCUAGUAUUAUAUUUUGGGAGUAGUAUUGAGCAUCGAUAUGGAGGAGAGUUCAGACCACUCUAAGCCCCAUAAACCAUGUAGCUAUCAUGGUAGAAAAGGGUCAUACUUUUAGAUGAUUCCUUAGUGCUUUUUAGCAUACACUAGUGGAUCCACUUAGUAGUCAGGUUUUAUACCCUCAGCAAGAUAUAGGAUGGCCCUGGCAGCGUAAGGCAAAACGAUGUAUCAUCACAAUAGCUCUUAAGUGAUGGUUGUCGGUUAGAGAAACUCCCACAGAAGUAUUUUAUAUUCUUAUAUACACAGAGUUAAUUGUAUUUUUAUAUUGUAUCUCUGCAUACAUACAUAGUUGCUAUUGUAUUUCUAAAUACACAGAGUUGUUAUCCAUGUUUUAAAGGCCUUUCUUUAUAUUGAAUUCAUAUUAUUGCUUUAUAUUGAAAUGAGUUAAGUUGAGUUGAGUUGAGCCAUGUAUGUUCUUUCAGUUCCUUUCAAGCUUAUGUCUUGUUUAGUAUUCCCCUCGCAUGCUCGUACAUUCAAUGUACUGAUGCCAGUUGACCUGCAUCUUUUAUGAUGCAGAUUCAGGUAACCAGGACCAGCAUCCAGCGCAUCGUUGAUCCAGUUGAGCUUCAGAGUUGUGGUGAGCCUCCUUGCUUCCGGAGGAUCCCCUUUUUCAUUACUUUAUCAUUUUAGUUCAUUAGGAUGUCGUGGGUCUUGUCCCGACAUCCAUCUCAAUUGUUAGAGGCUUCAUAGACAGUUAGUUGAUAUUAGUUCUUAAGUCUUUCCAUUUCAGUUAGGUUUGAGACUUGAGUUGCCACUUUGGCCAGUGAAUGUUUAUUUAUAAUACAUUCUUAGUUAUUUUUAAGCUGUCAGUUUACUUUUAAAGUGCAGUUAUGUUGAGUUAAGUCUUCCGCUAAUAGUUAAGUCAGGCCAAGGGUUCGCUUGGGGACAACAAUGGUUCUCGAGUGCCAGUCUCGCCCAGGGUGUAGGCUCGGGGCGUGACAAACUUGGUAUCAGAGCACAGAGUUCAAGAGUCCUAGGGAGUCUAUGAAGCCGUGUCUGUAGAGUCCUAGUUAUCGGUGUGAAGCGCGUCACAUCUAUAAUUAGGAGGCUGCAACAUUUUAGGAACUAUCUCACUUCUUUCAUACUCAUUUCGUCCGAUAGAGUGUAUCUUUAUAAAAGUCUCUUUAUAACUCGUGCUUGCGCAUGUCUUUCGGAUCAUGCCUCUAUGAAGAGCUGUCAGAGGUCGUCCGGCUAGAAGAAAUGUUGAGCCAAGUUGUGACCAAUCAAGUUGGGCAAAGAUAAGAGAAUUUCUCUCGCUUAAGCAGGAUUCUUUGAGCGUUCACAGUCUGAAGUUCACACAAAUUUUACGCUAUGCUCCGGAGAUGAUUGCUAACAUAAGGAGCAAGAUGAGUUUAUCCGUUGUUGGGUUGUCUCGCAUGUCAAGCACGAAAGGCAAGGCAGCUAUGCUGAUAGGGGAUAUAGAAAUAGCAAGGCUAAUGAUCCAUUUGCAACAAGUUAAGGAGGACAAGUUGAGGGAUAUGGAAGAGUUUAAGAAUAAGAGGGAAAAGACAUCAGGGAAUGAGUCCGGGCAUUAAAAGAGUAAUGUGAACCGGUCUUCCUUCCAACAGAAACAAAAGGGACCUGCUUCAUCAUCUGCUAGUGCACCUGCACCAAAGAACAAAGGUGAGUACAAUAGUCAGAAUUUCAGAGCUAAACCUGCUUAUUCUCAAGGUAGUAUGGCACAAGGGAGUAGUAAGCCUCCUGCAUGUGCUAAGUGUGGUAGGAGCCACUCAGGGAUGUGUCAUGAGGGCUCCACUGGUUGCUUCAAGUAUGGCCAGAACGACCAUUUUAUGAGAAAGUGUCCUAAGAACAAGCAAGGUAACGGUAAUGGGGGCAAUAGAGCCCAGUCUUCUUCAGUUGCUCCACCAGACAGAGAUGCAUCUAGAAGAGCUACUUCAGGGGCAGGCAGAGGAGGAAACCGUCUUUAUGCUAUCACCAAUCGCCAAGAGCAAGAGGAUUCGACAAAUGUUGUCACUGGUAUAAUCCAGGUCUUUAACUUUGAUAUUUAUGCUUUGCUAGAUCCAGGAGUGAGUUUAUCCUUUGUAACUCCUUACGUCAUGAUGAAUUUUGAUGUUCUUCCUAAGAAACUUAUUGACCCCUUUAGUGUUUCUACACCUGUUGGUGAGUCUAUUCUAGCAGAGAGCGUUUAUUAUGGUUGUACCAUUUCCGUCAAUCACUAGAGCACCAUGGCUGAUUUAGUUGAGUUAGACAUGGUAGAUUUUGAUGUCAUUCUAGGUAUAGACUGGUUUCAUGCCUGUUAUGCAUCAAUAGAUUGUAGAACUCGAGUAGUCAAGUUCCAGUUUACAGUGAACCAGUUAUAGAGUGGAAGAGUAGUUCAGCAGUGCCUAAGGGUCAUGUUAUUUCAUACCUUAAGGCAAGAAAGUUAGUCUCCAAGGGGUGUGUCUAUCACUUUGUCCAAUUUAAUGACUCUAGUGUUGAGAUACCUCAUAUUCAGUUAGUUCCAGUAGUAAAAAGUUUCCAGAAGUCUUUCUAGAUGAUCUUCCCAGAGUCCCUCCUGAGAGAGAAAUAGACUAAGGUAAAGAUAUUCUUCCCAAUACUCACCUUAUAUCUAUUCUGCCAUAUAAGAUGGCACUAGCAGAGUUGAAAGAGUUGAAAGAGCAGUUGAAAGACCUCCUAGAGAAAGGUUUCAUUCAACUAAGUGUCUCACCUUGGAGCGCUCCGGUCUUAUUUGUGAGGAAGAAAGAUGGUUCCCUUAGAAUAUGUAUAGAUUACCGUCAUUUGAACAAGGUUACUAUAAAAAAUAAGUAUCCUCUUCCGAGAAUUUAUGAUCUCUUCGAUCAACUUCAAGGUGUCACUAACUAAUGCACCUGCAGCGUUCAUGGACCUUAUGAAUAGAGUAUUCAAGCCUUAUUUAGAUAUGUUUGUUAUCGUGUUCAUUGAUGACAUUCUAAUCUAUUCGAGGAAUGAAGAAGAUCAUGUUAGUCAUCUCAGAAUAGUUCUCCAAACUCUAAAGGAUAGAGAGUUGUAUGCCAAGUUCUCUAAGUGUGAGUUUUUGCUUGAGUCUGUGGCAUUCUUAGGCCACAUUAUUUUCGGUGAUGGAAUUAGAGUUGACACACAAAAAAUAGAGGAAGUGCAGAAUCGACCUAGACCCACAUCUCCAACAGAUAUUAGGAGUUUCUUGGGGUUGGCUAGAUAUUAUAGAAGGUUCAUAGAGGGGUUCUCAUCUAUUUCAUCCCAUUUGACCAAGUUGACUCAGAAAACAGUGAAGUUUCAAUGGUCUGAAGCUUGUGAGAAAAGCUUUCAGGAAUUCAAAAGGAGGUUGACUACUACCCCAGUAUUGACCUUACCAGAAGGUACGCAAGGCUUUGUUAUAUAUUGUGAUGCGUCUAGAGUUGGUUUGGGUUGUGUGUUAAUGCAGAAUGGCAAAGUUAUAGCUUAUGCCUCCAGACAUUUGAAAGUUCACGAGAAGAACUACCCAACCCAUGACUUAGAGUUGGUUGUCGUAGUAUUUGCUUUGAUAAUAUGGCGUCAUUAUUUGUAUGGUGUUCAUGUAGAUGUAUUCACUGAUCAUAAGAGUCUUCAGUGUGUGUUUAGUCAAAAAGAGCUUAAUUUUAGACAGAGAAGGUGGUUAGAGUUACUCAAAGAUUAUGACAUGAGUAUUCUUUAUCACCCAGGUAAGGCUAAUGUUGUUGUUGAUGCCUUGAGUAGAUUAUCUAUGUAUAGCACCGACCAUUUUGAGGAAGAUAAGAAAGAGCUAGCAAAAGAUGUGCACAGACUUGCACAAUUAGAAGUUCGAUUAAUGGAUUUCACAGAAGGAGGAGUAGUGGUGAUGAAUGGGGUUGAAUCAUCAUUAGUGUUAGAAGUGAAAGAGAAGCAAAACCAAGAUCCUAUUUUUCUUGAAUUGAAGGUAAAUGUUCAUAAGCAAAAAGUAAUGGCUUUUGAACAAGGAGAGAUGGUGUAUUGAGGUAUCAAGGUAGAUUGCGUAUACCAAGGGUGGAUGAACUCCAAGAAAGGAUCAUGGAAGAAGCACAUAGCUCCAGAUAUUCUAUCCAUCCGGGUUCCACAAAGAUGUAUCGUGACUUGAGGGAAGUAUAUUGGUGGAAUAGUAUGAAGAAAAGUAAUGCUGAGUUCGUUGCAAAAUGCCCGAAUUGUCAACAAGUUAAAGUAGAGCACUAAAGGCCCGAUGUUAUAGCUCAGAAUAUAGAACUUUCGGAAUGGAAGUGAGAGAUGAUCAAUAUGGAUUUCAUCACAGGUUUACCAAGGUCUCGCAGGCAACAUGAUUCGAUUUGGGUGAUUGUAGAUUGAAUGACUAAAUCAGCCUAUUUCUUGCCGAUAAAACCUACCCAUUCAGUAGAGGACUAUGCCAAGUUGUAUCUUCAAGAGGUAGUUAGACUUCAUGGGGUGCCAGUUUCGAUUAUUACAGACAGAGGUGCGCAAUUUACUGCACAAUUUUGGAAGUCAUUCCAGAAAGGCUUGGGUUCAAAGGUGAACUUAAGUACUGCUUUUCAUCCUCAGAUAGUCAAGCAGAGCGCACUAUUCAGACUCUAGAAUAUAUGUUGAGGGCUUGUGUGACUGAUUUCAAGGGUAAUUGGGAUGAUCACCUACCUCUCAUUGAGUUUUCUUAUAACAACAGUUACCAUUCUAGCAUUCAGAUGGCUCAUUAUGAAGCUAUUUAUGGGAGAAGGUGUAGAUCUCCAAUUGGAUGGUUUGAGGUUGGUAAAGUUGGGUUGAUAGGACAAGACUUAGUUCAUCAAGCUAUGGAGAAAGUGAAGGUUAUUCAAGAGUGGUUGAAAAUAGCGCAGAGUCGUCAGAAAUCCUAUACAGAUGUUAUGAGAAGGGACUUAGAGUUCGAAGUAGAUGAUUGGGCCUACUUGAAAGUUUCACCCAUGAAGGGUGUUAUGAGAUUUGGUAAGAAGGGGAAACUUAGUCCCCGAUAUAUUGGUCCUUACAGAAUAUCCAAGAGGAUUGGCAAUGUAGCUUAUGAGUUGGAGCUACCCCAAGAGUUAGCAGUGGUUCAUCCGAUAUUUCACAUCUCCAUGUUGAAAAAGUGCAUGGGCGAUCCUACUGAAGAUAUUGGUAUCAAGGAUAGUUUAUCAUACGAGGACAUUCCUGUUCAGAUUCUAGAUCGCUAAGUUCGCAAGUUGAGGAAUAAAGAAGUAGCAUCAGUCAAAGUGCUGUGGAGAAAUCAAUUUGUUGAGGAAGCUACUUGGGAAGCUGAAGAGGAUAUGAAGAAGAGAUACCCACAUCUCUUAAAAUCAGGAGAAGCUCCAACUUAAAGUACUAAUCCUUUUCUUGGCUUUUAUUUUAAGUUGGCAUGUUGUAUUUACAUUUUGCUUGUUGGGUGUUUGAGCUAGAUGUUAGAUGUUACGCCAUUAACCUGCUAAGAUUAAUCUCAUUCGAGAAUGAAUGUUCCCAAGGGGGAGAUAUUGUAACACUCUUCUACUAGAAAGACUUGGAAUUAGAAAGAAACUGUAUUUGGAAAUAAUCAAAUUUGGAAAGUUUGGCAAAGUUAAGUCAAGUAUAAGUUUUGGAUCAACUUCAAACGACCAUAACUCAUAGCUCAGUAUGAGUUAGGUGUUCUACAAGAUACUGUAGGAAAUAUCUUUGAAUUAUCUUUCCAACGCCGCCGAGUUUGAUAAAUUUCGAGUUCCUAUGAAAGAGAUAUACCCAUUUGAAGUUGGGUUGUCUAGAUAAGGAAAGUCAAAACCAAAUUUUAGAAGGGUAUUAUGGUCUUUUCACUAACCAAUUAAUUAAAUUCGUUUUUGGUAAUUAAUUUGGGGUCUCAACUGAUCGGAUUCAGUUUACGCUUCACAAAAAUAAGUUAGGGUUUUGAGAGAAGAGAAAAGAAGAGGAGAAAAUAGGAGGAAAGGAGAAGAAAGGUUCAAGAUUCGUCAAGUUCUUGCGAGUUUGGUUGUGCAUUUCGCCAAGGAUUCAAUCCUACGAGGUAUGUGAGUUCACAUAGCAUUGAAUUCGUUCACCCACGCGCCAAACAUAUUUAUUUCAGUAUAAUUUUUGUCCUAAAAGAUUGAGACUUUGAUGUUCUUGAGUUGUGUUCUUAAAUUGCUUUCUUUCUUGAAAUUUUGGGAUAAGAUUGAGGAGUUCUUGAGAGUUUAAGGUCGAUUGUUAGAGUUGUUUUGAGUUAGAUUCUAGUGUACAUAUUGUCGCACCCUAUUUCGAACUGGCCGAAACAGUUCACAACAUAAUAUGGCUGUAACUCUAAAUUUUUGAAAAAAUUAUUUUGUUUUUGUUUUAGAGUCGCCACCUAAAUUUUAAGGAAAAUAUUUAAAAUACCAUUUUUUAUAUGUAAAUGUAAACUCUGUUUUGAUGUGCGAAACCAGUGAGAUUCUGAUUAAGGGUUUUGGUUACUCAAGGGGAAGGUAUUAAGCAUCCCUCCGAAGAUAGUCCUUAAACUCAAUUUUAGAUAAAAUUAAUAAGGAAAACUCAUUUAUUUAUUUGUUUUAAAAUCAAUGAUAAGUUAAUUUCAUUAGUUUAAGAAAAAAAGAGUAAAAUACUAGGUAUGACAUAUAUACGUCUACAAAAUAAUAGUAUAUUUAUCCUAUAGUAAAAUAAAUAAGUAAAUAAAUAAAUGCACUUAAAAUGAACGAAAAUUUUAUAUGUUGGAAAAUACAGAUGUGUCCUAUAUAAAUUUAUCCAAAAUAUAUAAAUGUUGAGUUUAAAAGGUAUGGAAAUUUGUCAUUUUUAUUUAUAUAAAAUUAGGACGUAAAAAAUAAGAUAAUAGUCGGAAUAAGUAUAUAAUAGUAUGUGUAAUAUAUGUUUUAGAAUAAAAAUAGAUAAAAUGGAGUGUUCUAAAUAUAAACAAAUAAAAUAAAUAAUAAAGGUUCUAAAUGCAAAAAUAUUUUAUAAAAUUUGUGAUUUUAGCUAGAUUUAUUAUAAAGUGUAGUAUAUACAUGUAAGUUGUUUUAAAACAUGUGAACAUUUAUUAUUUUAUUUACAUGUAUAGACGAAUUGACGAUAGAUUAGAUGUAGUAAAUAAUAUGUACAUUUAAGUGUAGGGAUUUAUGAAUUAUAAAAAUAAAUAAGUGAAAUUUGUAAAAGUGAUAGUAGAUAUGAGAAAAAUAAUAUAAAGUAAAGCAAAAUAAUAGGCUAUGUGUAGAGAAAACUAAAUAUAAAAUAUAGAAUUUAUACCUUUACGUGCAUGACAUAUAUAUGUAUGUACCUUGUAUUUUGAACAUACUGGCAUAUCUAAAAUCUUGAAAUAGCAUGUUAAGAAAUUAAUUAAAAUAUUUUUAGCAAUAUUUAAUUUUAAAAUAGAGAUAGUGAUAAUAGUAAAAUAUAAUUUCCUUAUAAAGUGGUUGAUCUAAAUAUUAUAAAAUAGUCCUCUAACUAUUGGGACUUAUUCUAUAAUUAUAUUUAUUUUUUUGUUAAUAAAAUAUAUAGACCUACUUCCUUACUUGUUUUCAAAAAAUAUGUAUCUCUAAAGGUGAUCACAGCCAGGGUUAGCUCAAGGCUAGCAAGUAGCGAACCUGAGACCAAAGGUAGGCUACUAUGCAAGAAAGCCUAGUUUAAGGAGGAAAAAGAGUGACGAACUCAUUUUUCUUCAGUCAUAGCCUUAAAUAUUUCUAAAGGGUGGUUAUUUUAGCCAUUAAAUUAGCUUUAAAAUAUUUGGAGGUCCUAAGCGAUGAGUAGGCCUAAAUGAAUAUUAUUUUAGCCCUUUUGAAACUUCAUUUGGAAACUUUUAAGCUAUAAGCCCCUCUUUUCAACUUAAAAGGGCUGAAAGAAUGUUAUAAGAGAAAAUGCUAACCCAUUUUUAAGAAAAUAUUUUUUGUAUCAUUUAUUCUAAAAAGUGUUUCAACUAAAUUUAUAAAUAAUAUUGGCUCCAUAAAUAAUCUUCAAAAUAAAAGACAAGCAAUAUAUCAAAAAAACUUGUAAGUAAAGGUUAGCCAACAUAUCAAAACAACAUAAGUAGGACAAAGAAAGAAAGACUAAGAAAAAUAUUGGACUACUAAUUUGCGAGACUCCAAGCGUUGCAAUGAUCCUAAUUGUUGUUGGCCUAAUACUUUAGGCCAAUAACGAGUUCCAAAGUAGAAACUUCAGCCCUCGGAUUGUACAUGGAAAAUAUGAGAAAGAAAAAGGUUAGAAUCAUGUGUCAAACAAUAACAGGACUAAAUAGUGAACAUAUGCAAUUUUUAUAGUUACGCAGUAAAACUUCAAUGGAUUUCCAUUAAAUUUAUUCAUAUGUUGAACAGGGAGCAUAAACCUCACAUAUGUUUUCGAGACUUUAGGAGAUACAUGACAUAUUAAUAAAGCACACCAAUUAGAGAAUUUAGUUUUAAAAUACAGGCCAAAACAUCCAUUUUCUUACUAAUUUAUCAUGCUAAUAAAAUAAAAAUACAAAAAUAAACAUUCAAAAUCUCUAUGAAAAUUUCUUGCACAACCAUAGUUCAUAUUCUUUGAUAGAACUAGGAUUAAACAGAGCAAGAAUUUACCAUUUAUAGUCGCUAUCUCUAAAGUGAAAAAAUAGUCAAUUUUUGACACAUGAAACGUGGAAUGAUUAUUAUUUUUUAUAUAUCACAACAAGAAAACAGUAAUGGUACAACGAAAAAUAACAAUGGCACUUUGAGCAGAAAACUAAAGAGAAUACUUACACGAAACUAAGGCGAACUUUAAAUAGCAAUCACAUAUUCAACUGAUUGAGUUCGUAGUUGAUUUUCUAACACUAAUUGCUUCUUAACUAAAAUAUGAUGAGACGGAUUUCAGCACCCAUUUAACUCAGAGGAUUAAACAAAAAUGAAUGUUCAAUAUUACAAUGGCAACAACAAAAAAUCAGUCGGCAAAGGAUUACCAGACAUUCAAACAGUAAGAAUGUAGGGAACUAUGAAAAAAUAUCCAGAAGAAUACAAAAUGAUGGGAGAAAAACAAAGCUUCAUACAAGACGAUCGAAAAAAAUAAUCUAAAAGAACGAGGUAGUGUACCUUUUCAAGGGCAGCAAAUAGGGGCUUUGACGUCAAGAUUCCAACUUCAAACUACCUUGAACUCGGGUUCAAAACCGAAGGAGAAGGAGAUGAGAUGAUCUUUUGAACUCUUUGAAAUAUGUAUUGCAUUUUUUUCUUUUUUGCUCGAUCUCUCUCUGAUUUUCGAAUAGUUUUUCUGGAUGAUUUUCAAUGGGAACCAAAUGGCUUUCUAUAGCCGAUUUUGGGAUAGACUCACACUCUAAAACCCAUUAGAUUAAGGCAUAACCAAUCAAAAUCCAACGGUUCUUUGCGUCCCUCAACUUUUCAGGCCUAGCAAUGGUGGUAGUUGAGAUUUCUAGGCCUGCCUUGAUAAAAAAAGGAUGGAAACGAUCUAAAGUUGAUAGGAAGUGGUUGUGAUUGAUGGACGGCAGAGGGGCGUAGUUGAAAACCACCGGAUAUUGCCAUUUUCCGGCGGUCUGAAGUUGAUGGGAGAGGAGCGUGGAGAAGUGGUCAUGGCAGGAGAACGUUGGGAAGGAGGAGAGUUGUACGGGGGAGACGUUUGGGGAAAUGAUGUUCUGGGAAAGAGAACCUGGGGAAGAGGCGGGUCAUGGAAAAGAUUGAAAAAGUUGAAGCGGUGGAUGUACUAUUUUUGGGGAGAGAUGAAAAUCUUUAUUUAAUUUAGGUCGUCCGAUCGUUUGAUUGGACGGUCAAGUUAAAUCAGGAAUUAAAAGGAAAAGUUAUAUAUAUAUUAAAUAAAGGUAAAAGCUUAAUUAACUAGGACCGUUAGAUUUAAUCGCAGGGUCAAGAUUUAAGCUAAAGAAGCACAAUCCAUGUGCUUGCCUACAUGGCAUACACGGAUUGGCCGGUUUAGAAGGACUUGGAUUGCCAAAUUUGCUCAAAUUAAAUCCAUUAUAACCUCUAAUUUAUUAAAUAGUCAUAAUUUGUUAAAUUAAAAAUAAUUAUUUUGCAAUACUAGCUUAUUUGAUAAAAUUAGUCAUUCGAAAAAUAAAAUUAAUAUAAAUUAGUAAGUCAUUAAUUAAUUAAGCUCCCUAAUUUUGAAAAAAAUAUCGAAAAAUAUUUAUUGUAAUAGUAAAAAUUAUAUUUAAUUAGAAAAACCGAGUCAACCAUUAAGAACAAUAUUUAUACGACAUAAAAUUUAAAAAAUGAGAAAGUAAAUAGUAAUAUUUACAUAAUAUAUUUAAUUUUAUAAGAAAUAAUAUUUAUCAAAUAAAUUUAUCAAAUAAAAUAAAUUAUUAAAAUCCUUUUCGUAUUCCUAUAAAAAUUUCAUAACACAUAUAUUAUUUAUUUAUUAUUAUUAUUAUUAUUAAAACUUUAGUUAAAUGUGGAGAGCCAAAGUUGGGUGUCAACAGCUUGCCACUUUCUUUGUCCAUGGAAGAGAGUAAAGAAGAUGUGGACAAAGAAAUAUUGACACAAUCCAAUUUUAGGCGACCCGCCAAAAUAUACUUUGAGCAAUAACUUGACAAGAAUGUUUAUGGAGUUAUGGCCGAACACUGGCUUCUGAGCUGCCUACAUAUCUCAGGUUUCAUGAGAAAUCAGGCCAUAUGUAGUUCGAGAGUGUAGGAACAUAGCAAAUUUUAUUAAAAAUUUGCCCCAGUAUCGCAUUAUGGUAAUACUAAAAUCUUUUGGUGGUGAGGUAUGAAGAGAUUAGCAUGAAUAGAAGGACGAGAUUUAGUUCUUAAGAAACUUGAACAAGAAAUGCUCCGUCGCAAUUUCUACUGAUGACUAUGGUAGAGAGAAGAAUUUUCAAAAAAUUGCCCCAGUGUCGAGUUAUAAUGAACUGAGACUUGAGAGAGCUAUAAGUAAGAUUUAAAUCUAAACUUCUGAAAGUUGAGUCGAGUUGAGUUUUGAAAGUGAAUCGUUGACGUAGCUAGUGAUGCUUGACAUUGCACUAACUUGCCCUAGUUUGCUUCUUAGAGGGAGUUCCUCGUUGUAAUGUGUUGUCCUGCAAAACCUUUAAAAGGGUGAAAAGUACCUGUUGUGGUUCAAAAAAUUAUAAAUUGAAAUAGUAAUGUAAAGAGUAGAGUGUAGAUGUCCAAAUGAUUGUUGAUGUCUCUUUUUGUAUUGUGAAUGUGAUGUAGGUAAAGUAACUUGAAAUGUAGGGGCCCUCGACUGGCGGGACUGUUGUAAUGUAAAAGGCUGCAUCUGGUUGUGUAAAGCUUGUAAUGUAAAGCCUCCAGCUGGCGGGGAUGUUGUAAUGUAAAAACAUGGUUGUGUAAAGCUUGUAAUGUAAAGCCUCUGGCUGGCGGGGAUGUUGUAACGUAAAAGCAUGUAUCUGAUUGUGUAAAACUUGUAAUGUAACAUUUGAUUGUUGGCGUAUGACAGCGUCGCUAUACUUGCAUUCCCCCGGUUGGUGGAGCUUCGGUGACGUCACUAUGAUGUUAGUCUCCGAUUGGCGGAGUGUCGUUUCUUUUGCUUAUAUACAGGCUCCGAUUGGCGGAGUUCGGUCGACGUUUGUUAUGUAUAGCCUCCGGUUGGCGGAGUUUGACAAAGUUUGCUAUGUACAGCCUCUGGUUGGUGGAGUUUGACGAUGUUUGCUAUGUACAGGCUCUAGUUGGCGGACUUUGAUGAUGUUUGCUAUGUACAGCCUCCGGUUGGCGGAGUUUAACGAUGCUUGCUAUGUACGAUCUCCAAUUGGUGGACUUUGGCGAUGCUUGCUAUGUACAAUCUACAAUUGGUGGAGUUUGGCCGAUGUUUGCUAUGUACAGCCUCCGAUCGGUGGAGUUUGAGUGACAUUUUCUAUGUACAAUCUCAGACUUGUGGAGUUUGGCACUGUUUGACGGUGAUCUCCGAUUGGUGGAGUUGUUGAUGAGGUUAGUUUACAAGCUCCAAUUGGUGGAGCUAUUUUGACAAAAAGCUGACUAUUCUAUUUUCCUAUGAAGAUCCUCUUUCUUCAGUAUUUGGUUUGGAUCCUGAGCGUACCUGCAAAAUUUGAAUGAAAUGUUCUUAGAUAUAAGAUGCAAGUUGAAGUACUUUCAGGAAAUAAAGUAGGGAAAGAGUAUUUUGGCUCAUGAUUGUGAUAACUCGAAUGGUAUUUUUGGUCAUGCCCCGAGACUUGAUGUUAUUUUAUUUAUUCAUGUGUUCCUAUACUCAAAGAAAAUUUUAGUCUGGGAAGGGGUGUUGAUUUGCAUUGACUCGUGGACUGAAGCCUCGUUAGUAGAAUCCUUCGACAUCUUCGUAUCCCGUAUGUAGUUUCUCAACCUAGAGACUAGGUAGGUGGAAGAGUAGACAAAAUCUUUUUGAAAGGAAUUAGCUUGUUUUUCUAGAAACUAAGUAUACUACGUAUAUAUUAGGUAUAUAUAUAUAGUAACUCUCCAGUGUUUUUAGAUUAUGACAUAUUUCGAAGUCCAUCGAGCUUUCCAUUUUGUUGACUAUAUCUAACAUAGUCUUCCUAUAGCUUUUACUCUUCUGAUGAAGCUUUCCUAGCUCUUUUGCAGACACUGCGACAAUUGAUAUUCUUCAUAUUCUGAGGUUACGCUAACUAUGAGGAAGUGUUUCCUAAGGGUAAGAAAAAAAAAUAUAAAUUAUGUAAUGCAUUGAUCGAGCCUGACUCAAGCUGCCUACGUAUCCCUAAAGUAGGAAUCAUAUUGCAACGUAAUUCGAAUACAAGUGAGAGAAAUAGAAGUAUGUAAUGUAAUGACCGAGCUUGACUCAAGCUGCCUUCUUAUCCAAGUGGAAUCAGGUCGUAACGUAGUUCGAAUACAAUAGGAAAGUGAAAAAUAUGAAAUGGAAUGACCGAGCCUGACUCAGGCUGCCUACGUAUCCAAGAGGAAUCAGUUCAGGACGUAGUUUAGAUACAAUAGAAAAGAGAAAAAUGCAAGGGAAAAGUAAGAAUAUGUAAUGCAAUGACCGAGCCUGACUCGGGCUGCCUACGUAUCCAACCGGAAUCAGGACUCUGGCUUCUCCUUGGUGAGGAAAGAUCUUCUUCAAUACUAACUGCCCUGGUGUGAACUGUCGAGGUUUGACUUUCUUGUUGAAUGUUUUGGUCAUUAUGUUCUGAUAGAGUUGACCAUGAACAACUGCGUCCAUCCUCUUUUCAUCGAUGAGCACCAAUUGUUCAUGGCUGCUACGUAUCCAUUCUGCAUCAUCUAGACCAACUUCUUGGAUGAUCCUUAAAGAUGGUAUUUCCACCUCAGCAGGUAUUACUGCCUCUGAACCAUAAACCAACAUAUAAGGAGUUGCCCCAAUGGAUGUUCUAAUUGUGGUGCGAUAACCGAGUAAAGCAUAUGGUAGUUUUUCAUGCCAAUGCAUGUGACUGUCCACUAUUUUCCUUAAGAUCUUCUUGAUAUUCUUAUUUGCAGCCUCAACUGCUCCAUUCAUCUGUGGCCGGUAAACCGUGGAAUUUCGAUGAGCAAUCUUGAACCUUUCACAAGUUUCCCUCGUAAGAUCGUUGUUGAGGUUGGUUGCAUUAUCUGUUAUGAUUGAUUCUGGAAUUCCAAACCGACAAACUAUGUUGUUGCGAACAAAGUCUGCUACUACCUUCUUAGUCACUGCCUUGUAUGUCAAAGAUUCGACCCAUUUUGUGAAAAAAUCGAUAGCUAUCAGGAUGAAACGAUGUCCAUUUGAUGCAGGAGGCUCUAUGGGUCCAAUAACGUCCAUGCCCCAAGCAACAAAGGCUAGGUGGAACCCAUCACAUUGAGCUCAUUCGGUGGAACCCGUAUAAAAUCUCCAUGCACUUGACACUAAUGACACUUUUGCACAUACCGGAUGCUAUCUCUCUCCAUGGUCAUCCAAAAGUAUCUAGCUCUUAAAAUCUUCUUUGCCAAAGUGAACCCAUUCGUGUGAGGUCCGCAGAUUCCUGCAUGUAUUUCUUCCAAAAGCCUUGUCGCUUCUGCGGCGUCGACGCACCUCAGCAAUCCUAAAUCUAAAGUUCUCCUAUAUACGAUUUCUCUGUUAAGGAAGAAAUGAUUGGCCAUCCUCCUCAAAGUCCAUUUUUGCUUGCUUAUGGCAUUUUCAGGAUAUUCUUGUGCUUCUAUAAAUCUUCUGAUGUCAUAGUACCAUGGUUUUCCAUCCAAUUCCUCAUCUACAUGAAAAUAGUAUGCAUGCUGAUCAUGUAUCUCUACAUCAAUAAGGUCAAUGUAAUUUUUGUUUGGAUGUUGAAUCAUUGAGGACAAUGUUGCCAAAGCAUCGGCAAACUCAUUUUGAGCUCGAGGGACAUGCUUGAACUCAAUCCUUGUGAACCUCCUACUCAACUCCUUUAUGUAAUGCAAAUAAGGCAGGAUCUUGACAUUCUUAGUGGUCCACUCUCCUUGCACCUGGUGAACUAAUAAGUCGAAAUCUCCUAUCACCAAAAGUUCUUUGAUGUUCAUGUCGAUGGUCAUCCUGAGUCCGAGAAUACAAGCUUCAUAUUCCGCCAUGUUGUUGGUACAGUAAAACCUGAUCUUUGCUGACAUCGGGUAAUACUGACCUGUUUCUGAAAUUAAGAUUGCUCCUAUUCCAACUCCAAUAGAAUUUGAUGCUCCAUUAAAGAACAUCAUCCAUCCAUCGUAUGACUCUGAUAUGCCUUCUCCUACAAACAAAACCUCUUCAUCAGGGAAGUAGGUCGUGAGCGGCUUGUAAUCCUGGUCCCUCGGGUUUUCUGCGAGGUGAUCAGUCAGGGCUUGUCCCUUGACGGCCUUCUGUGUCACAAACACAAUAUCAAACUCGCUUAACAGAAUUUGCCACUUUGCCAGUUUACCUGUAGGCAUUGGUUUCUGAAAGAUGUACUUGAGUGGAUCCAUUCUUGAUAUAAAGUAUGUGGUGCCUAAAUUUUUGCGCGAUCCAAGUCAAAGUGCAACACGUUCGUUCCAACAAGGUGUAUCUUACCUCGUAUGGUGUGAAAUUUUUGCUCAAAUAGUAAAUGGCUUGCUCUCUUCUGUGCCCCAAUACACACCCAAAUGCAUUAUCCAUGAUAGAUAAAUACAAUAGAAAAGGCUUUCCAGGUUUCGGUGGGACCAAUACUGGUGGGUUGGACAAGUAUUCUUUGAUUCUAUCAAAAGCCUUUUGGCAUUCCUCUGUCCAUUUUGUGGCAGCAUCCUUCUUCAGUAAUUUGAAUAUGGGUUCACAUAUCACUGUGGAUUGAGCUAUUGAACCGACUGAUGCAAUUUAGUCUUCCCAAGAAACUCAUCACGUCAUUCCUGGUCUUGGGUGGAGGUAGCUCUUGGAUUGCCUUUAUCUUUGAUGAAUCCAACUCAAGGCCUUUCUUGCUAGCGAUGAAUCCCAAUAGUUUUCCCGCGGGUAAUCCAAAUGCACACUUUGCUAGAUUCAACUUCAGAUUAUACUUACGCAACAUCUCAAAGAACUUUCGUAAGUCAUCCAGGUGGUCUGAACUUCCUUUGAAUUUGAUAACGACGUCAUCCACGUACACUUUAAUUUCCUUAUGGAUCAUAUCAUGAAAAAGGGUAGUCAUAGCCCUCAUGUAGGUUGCACCAGCAUUUUUGAGACCAAAAGGCAUUACUCUAUAGCAAUGCACCCCCCACGGAGUGAUAAACAUUGUUUUCUCAACAUCAUCUUUGUCCAUUAGUAUUUGGUGAUAUCCUGCAAAGCAAUCGACAAAUGAUUGCAACUCAUGUUUUGCAUAAUUAUCGAUGAGUAUAUGAAUAUUUGGCGAGGGAAAUCAUCCUUAGGACUGGCUCGGAUGAGAUCUCGAUAGUCCACACAUAAUCUAAUCUUUCCAUCUUAUUUUGGCACAGGCACAAUGUUUGCUAACCACGUGGGGUAAUUUGCAACCCUCACAAUUUUCGCCUCAAUUUGCUUAGUUACCUCCUCCUUGAUCCUUAAACUCAAAUCCGGCUUGAAUUUUCCUGUCUUUUGCUUAACGGGUAGACAAGUGGGAUCAGUUGGUAAUUUGUGCGAGACAAUAUUAGCGCUUAAUCCUGGCAUGUCAUCAUAAGAUCAAGCAAAUACGUCAAUGUACUGCUUAAGCAACCCUAUUAACUGUUGAUUUCUUUUAGCCUCUAAAUAUAUGUUAACUCGUGUUUCCUUCACGAGAUCCUCAUCUCCUAAUUUGACAACCUCUGUUUCAUCCAUAUUGAGCUUCUUCUGACUUUCAACUUGCUCGAUCUCAUGUGGUAGAUUUUCAGGCAUCAUGCUUUCAUCAUACUCUUUGUGAUCUUGUUCAUCACUUUCACCUUACUCGGUGGAUUAGGUACAUGUCAUAACCGUUGAACGAGGAUUUUUAUUAACAUAAGCACUGAAAAGUGCAAAAGGUAAGUAAAAAAUAAAUAUAUAUUUAAAGUAACGAGAAAUUUUAAAAAAAAAACUAAAGACUUUUUAUUUCAAGCAUUUUAGCUUUUGGAAGAGGCAAGCAACAAAAGAUUAGGCAUGAUUCAAGCCUCAAUUUGAUCAUGCAAAUUUUAAAAUUAAAACUACUUUUCCACACUAUCAGGACUCUGGCUGAAACAGGGACGGGCUGAUGGUCCAGUUCUACAAGAUUUCUCCAGGUUCGGCAUCACGAAUGAUCAAUUUGCUGAGAUUUAUCUCCUCUUCUUCUCCAGCCAUGGCCACGAACAGUUUGCCUAUUCCUUCUACGAUGUCAUCAACGCCAGCUUGAUCGGGAAUCAAAGUUUGUUCUGGUACAAAGAUUGUAUCACUUACCCCCUGGUGGACUCUUCCCAAGCCAGGCUCGUAUCUAAGUCCGUUGGUGCCUCUCUGACGCUUCAGCUGGAUUGGCUCAACUAUGCCAUUGGACUUGGGUCCAAAUCCACUCUUUGGCUAUACCCAUACUUCAACAUCUCUUAUGCAACCAUUUUUGCUGCACUUGUCAAUUUUGUAUCUUCUGGCUCCGUUUCCUCAUUGACCUAUACAACUUGCAUGAUUUCCAAAGUGUGAAAAGUGGCUCUGUCUAACUCCUUGGUAACUGGGAUAAAAUUAACAUAAUGAAUGGGGUGACUGAGAUCCCCGUGGAUGGUGACUUUUGUACGACCCCACUCAAAUUUCACACACUGAUGAAGAGUGGAAGGAACCGCUCUUUCCAUGUGAACCCAUGGUCUUCCCAACAACAGGUUGUAGUUUGAUGAUACAUCCAUCACUUGAAACAGAAUGGGGAAUUCAGAAGGCCCUACUUGCAAUGUGAGAUAGAUCUCUCCAAUGACACUUUUUUGCGCUUCAUCAAAAGCUCUAACUUUCACACGACUUUCCCUUAUCUCUCCCAUAUUAACACCUAAAUCCCUCAGAGUGGUGAAAGAACAGAUGUUGCAUCCAGAACCACCAUAUCAUAUCACAAUAUUUGACUGUGAUGUGGAGCGCUUUGUUGUGUGAUGAGUCCGAGAUUUGGACACAUUUAGGGCUUUAUUUGUAUAGGUUUAGUGUCCUCAAAUGCUUAUUUUGUGCCAAUAACUGAUGUUAAUUCCUUGAUUUUCAAGAUUAUGGAUUGAGGAGUAAAGCAAGGACACUAAGUUGCAAAAAGGAACAAAGCGAGCUGAAAGAAUGAAGAAAAGAGAACCUGGUGAUCGCCAAGUCCAUUUGGCGAGUCGCCAAGUGGCCACUUGACCGCCUUUUGUUCCAAUAUGCCAAGCCCUAAAGGAAAGAACCAAGUUGGAGAGAGAAAGGAGCAGUCGGCAGAUCGCUGAGUGGUUCUGUGAUGCAGAAUUGGAUCGCCCAAAGUUACAGACCUUGAGGAUGCUGAAGGCCAAGGCAGAAGGGCGAUGGAAUUGACCAAAGGGCAGAUCGGCCAGUGGAUCGGCGAGCCCGACUUACUUCACCGAGUGACCCUUCGCAACACAUUUUUGAACAUUUAGUUUAGUAUAAAUUUUUAUCUUAAUUCAUAUUACAAUUCUUAUCUGAGAAUUUUGGAGAGUUUUCUCUAGUUUUUCCUAAGCUUUAGAGAAUUGAAAUUCUUCACUUUUGAGAAAUUGGAAGUGGGUCUUUGAUAUUUUCGAAUUGGAACAUUUAAAAGGCAAAAUAAAUCUUACCUAGUUGAUGAAAAUACAAUUUGGUAACGAUUUUUAUCUUUUUAUAAUUUCUAGCUAAAACCCCAAUUCUUGGGGUGUGAUUAUCUGAUUAUGGGCUGAUUUAGCUAAUGGGUGUUGCUAAUUGUUAGUGUAAUUGCUAUUUAAAAGUGAGUGCAGUCAUUUAUUGUGGGUUAAUUUAGGAAUUGCAGUAGCAAAUGUGAUUCCACCUUUGUGUUCUUGGCUUGCUUGAGAGAGAGGCCGUUUUAGAACUAAGGUAUUUGAUUGAUGGUCUGUGGGUAUUGGGUUGGCCUGGGUUCAGCUUAAGAGAGUGAAUCCUAAGCCCUUUGCCACACAUUCAGCUCGAGAGAGUGAAUGGACUAAAGUGUGGGUUGUUCUUAUCUUGCAUGCCUGUUGAUGUGCGAGAGAAAUCAACUUGAUUCAGGGUAAAUUGUUCGAGAGAAAGUUUAUCUCCUCUAUAGCCUAGCUUACUCACUGAUUUUUAGCCAUUUUUCUAAUAGUUGCAACUACCCAUUUGUCUAUAAUAGCCUAUAAUUGAAUCACAUCCCAAGAACCUGUCUCAUUUUUGUUAUUUUUUUGUAGUUUUCUAAUGUUGUAGUUGAUAAUUAAAACCCAAACCCCUUUAUUUGACAUUCGUGUCACCCCCUGAUUUAAAUUAUGUUUUUAUUCGAUAAUGUCUAUUCCUAUGACUGAUUUGACCACGUUCACACUUUACCAUUGAAUCUUAAACACAUACAGCUCCCUGUGGGAUUCGACCCCAACUCAUUUAGUUGGGUUAUAUACUAAUUAAUGAUCGUUGACGCUUAGAAUUGGAUAAAGUGUCUUUGAAACGUUAUUAAUCAAAAUGGCGUCGNNNNNNNNNNNNNNNNNNNNNNNNNNNNNNNNNNNNNNNNNNNNNNNNNNNNNNNNNNNNNNNNNNNNNNNNNNNNNNNNNNNNNNNNNNNNNNNNNNNNNNNNNNNNNNNNNNNNNNNNNNNNNNNNNNNNNNNNNNNNNNNNNNNNNNNNNNNNNNNNNNNNNNNNNNNNNNNNNNNNNNNNNNNNNNNNNNNNNNNNNNNNNNNNNNNNNNNNNNNNNNNAAGUUGAAUUUUGUUCUUGUUAGUUAUAGUUGAAUCUACUUAUUUUUAGUUUUGUUUUGUGUGUUUCUGUUUUAAACAGAGGAAAUGAGUGUGAAUGGGAGAAAUGGUAGCCAAGUGGGCCACCAAGAUGACAUCGAAAACCUCAACGAUGUCAAUAAGCCGAAUGUUAAUGACCCCCAUCUUAUGGGUGGAAUUGGUGCCACUCACUUUCCUCUAGCUGAAGGGAACGUUGUGUUCCACAUUACAAGUACCAUGUUGCAGCUCUUGCAAUUGAAAGCGGUGUUUGGUGGGUUGGCUCAUGAGGAUCCCCAUGAGCAUUUAAGUAACUUUAUUGAUGUUUGCGUGCCGUUCUCCUUCAAGAACAUAUCCCAAGAAUCGGUCCGGUUGAGGUUGUCCCCAUUUUCGUUAAUGGGAGAAGCAUGUAAGUGGUUGGCUGAAUUGCCAAGAAACUCUAUAACUUCAUGGGAAGAGCUGGUCACCGCAUUUCAAGGGUGAUUUUUCCCUUCUUCAAAGAUGAUGACACUUCGGGACAGCAUCCAAAGCUUCAAGCAUUUGAAGGGUGAUCCAAUUCAUGAGACUUGGCUAAGAUUUAAGAGUUGGUGUUGCAAUGGCCAACUCAUGGUUUGCCCGACAACGUUUUGCUGCAAUACUUUUACCGAAGCCUUGAUUCGGUGAACAAGGGAGUAGCUAACCAACUUUCUCCUGGAGGUUUGAUACAGCAACCUUACAUUAUAGCAGCCCAACUUUUUGAUGGUAUGACAAAAAUUAACCGGGCUUGGUACACCCGCGAAUAUCAAGUCUCCCCUCUCACUUUUAAAUUGACCAAGGAGCAGCUUGAGAAAGACUAGGAGAGGGACCAAAACAUGGCAAAGAUCAUGACCCAACUUAACAUUUUGUCCAAGAAUUUCAUGGGAGCUGGUUCUAGAAGUGUCAAUGAUGUGGGUGUUGGAUGUGUAAACCCCGAUGAGGCCAAGUUUGAAGCAUUGUACAACGAAAAGGUGAAUUUCCUAUCCAACCAAGGAGGUGGUUAUUGUACAAACUACCCGAGGCAGGGUGCUAACCAAGGUUGGAAUAAGAAUGAAGGCUGGAAAGAUCAUGAUAGAGAGUGGAGGGAUCGUAACCCCACUUGGAAAGAAAGAGAUGGGGAGAAGGACAGGUACAUUCCUCCCCACGAGUGUCAAAAACCAAAGGAUUUUGAGGGUGGUCAGUUUGAGGAUAUGCUUUCUCGUAUUCUCAACAAGAUUGAGGAGUCCGACAAAAUUUUGAAAGAAAUGAAGGAAGAUGUGUCGACCCUUAGUCAGACGGUUAUUUUUUUACUCCGUCUCUAUCAAACAGUUGGAGACCCAGAUGGGUCAGAUUUCGUCUCAUUUAAACUCGAGACAACAAGGGGGGUUGCCUAGUGACACUAUGGUCAACCCCAAGAAUGAGGUUUGAGUGAGAACUUGUGUCGUGCCACGACGUUAACUAAGGCGCUGCUUGGGAGUUAACCCAAGUUUUUAUUUGCUUUCUUUUUUAUUUUGGAAUAAUAGUGUGUCGAUUGUGUAGGUUGAAGUGUGGAAUGUGAGGAAAAGUGCAGGUUGGCGAGCCGAAUGUCCAGUCGGCGACUCGCCGAAGAGGUCGGCGACUCGCCGAAGAGGUCGGCGAGCCCGACUUGGACUAUCGUUGGACUCAAGAAAUAAUAAGGUUGGAGUCUAUAAAACUCGGCAGGCCCAUAGACAAGUCGACGAGUUGCCGAACAGGUCGGUGACCCCGACUUUGUCCGCCGUUUGGACCCUCACAUUAACUGGAGGUCCUGUAAAACUCGAUGAGGUAAGUGACCACUCGGUGUGUCGCUGAGUGGUUCGGCGAGCAAAAUUAAUGUCACUGAAUGGGCGAGAACUGGACGGUUUUUAAAGGCCAAAGGUUUAACAUUUCAAACUCUUUCACUUUCCCUCACUUUUUAACCUUCCAAAAUUUCACCCGCACUAUAUUUUUCCAUAUUUUCGUAUUUUUACCACUUCCUACUCGUCACUUGUGUGUUCGGAGUUGGAAAUCUUUGCCGCCUAGCUUUUCAAAUCUCGUAUUCGACAUUAAAGGUUGGUUUUCUGAACCCCGAACUAGUAUUUAGCAAUUUUACUCAUUUGCAAUUGUUUUGCUCUUAAUGAUGUGUGUUGGGCCUCUCUGAUUCCAUGUUUUUGUGCUUGUGUGAAUGCGUGCCUGUUUUAAUUUGAAUAUCUUCCCUAAAAUGCCAAUAUUGUUGAUUUCCCAAAUUUUAGUGCUUUAAAAUUUAUCUAAAUUGUUGGGUUGUGCAUAAUUGUUGUUGGGUCUAGUCAAGUGAAGUCCACGUAACCCUUAAUUGCGCUAAAUGACGUGUUUUGCUCGAUGAUGGAGCGUUUGACGUCAUUCCUAAGUGUAUGGUUUGAUUUUGUUUUCGGGGUCUGCAGGGUUGAUUUUGGAAGUCGGGAUGGAAAGUAGGCACGUUGGGCAAUUUGGCGAGCUGGGUCGAGCUCGCCAAACCACUCGGCGGUUCACCGAACCCCCCUUGAUCGCCUUUAAUUUCCUGGGUUUGAAUGCUUUUGGUUCUGUAACUUUCGGCGAGAAGUCUGACUUCACCGAGUGCACUCAGCGACUCGCCAAAUGUCUUCUUUGAUCUCCCUUUCUACGCCCCUAACCCCUAAAAUACACUGUAACUUUCGGUGGGCUUGUCUGUGCUCGCCGAAUGUUGUCGGCGAUUCGCCGAAAGGUCCCUCCCAUCGCUGACAUGCCAAUUUUCCUAGGAAGUUUUUAGCCAAUUCUUUUUGCGAGUCCAUCUGGCUCGCCAAAGUGAUUCGGUGACUCACCGAUCAGUUCGGCAAGUCUGUCUGUAACUCUUUUUCUGCAUAUUUUCUUAAACUGUUUCUAACUUUCCCCGAUGUUUUUGCAGAUAUGGCUAGACCAAAAGUGGCAGGUAGAGACAUGCCUCCCCGCAAGACGGCUAAGGGAAUAAAAAUCAAUGAGGAUGUGGCUGCAUCCCGGACCAAGGCAACCAAACUUUCCACCAUAAGUGGGAAGGGAAAAUGGAAGGGCAACGCACCUGCUCCUGCGUCACCGGAGGUCAACUCCAACAGUGAAGGAAUCUAUGCCACUCACCUCACCACUUCUGAAAGUGAGGGUGAGCACCAGGACCAUCAGGCUGCAACUUCUGAGCCUGAAGAUGAGUUAUUGUCAGCCCAGAGAGCUGAGCUACAUUCCAAGAGGAUGAAUGAUCCAUCUAGGAUCAGGACUCCCCAGGCCACUACUUCUCAUCUCGCUCCAGCACAGGCUGUGGUCAUCGCACCACCGGUACAUGGUCCUCAUCCCCGAUCUAUGAACAGACUGAAGACUGAGGGGUUGAAGACCAUUAUAGAGGAAAAAAGGUUGUCUAGUAAUUGAGUCAUAGACAUAUACCCGUAGAUCAUGAGUUGCUUGAGGUUUCACAAGUUCCAGCUGUUCAUGAAACCCCGUGGUCCUUAUGUUCCAAAUUGGGUCUGGGAAUUCUACACCGCCAACGAAUCCCUGAUGCCACAAGGGAAGAAGCAGGCCGCCAAAUUCAAGUUGGUAGACUAUGUGGUUGUCAGGGGCAGAAAAGUGAAGUGUGAUAGUGAUGCUAUCAAUGCAGUCCUGGACUUUUCAACGAGAAUUAAGGAUGACUGUCAAUACAAGAUCAGGACAAAAAUGCUGGAGAAUAUGAAGAAGUGGUUGGCUCCUCUGAUAUCUGACAGUACUCCCAAGUGGAUCAAGGUUGGAGCACCCAUUGAGAAGAAGGACCUUAAUAUAGCAACAAGGUUCUUGUUUGGCUUCAUCAGCAGUACUAUCAUGCCAUCCCAGAAUGAGUCGAUCCUCCGCCACGCAGAAGCAUCCUGUCUUGGUUGCAUCAUUACUGGGACAAGGCUGAACUUGGGGAUGAUCAUUGCACAUGAGAUGGUCAUGAGGGCCAAGCAGCGCCAAGCCUCUCUACCUUUUUCGGUGUUGAUUACCGAGCUGUGUAGACAAGCUCGGGUGCCUCGAGAUGAGAAGAAGGAUGUGGAAGUGAUUCCCACAUCUUCUACCGACAUCUGGAGGAUUAAGGCGAAGUACUUGAAGGAUGGAGCCGAGAAGAAAAAGGCAGUCCCGGUGGAAUCUUCCCCAGUUGUUGAUAUUCAGACACUACCUGCAGAGGUAGCAUUGCCUACUCUGGCCCCUGGUCCUUCAGGUGCAUCUAGUAUUGUCCCUUAUGUUAUUCCCAGUUCCUCCACUUCUCCAUUGCCUCCUAGAUCUGGUAUUGUUAUUGUUGUUGCUGCCUGAUCUUCGCUCACCUAGGUAUCAUUACUGCGGAUGGGGCAGCUAGCCUAUUCUGCUGAUAAGCACGCCUCCAGGCUUGAGGCCACCAUUCCUGGCAUGAUCGAGAGGGCCCAUGCUGAUGAUGUGACACCUCUGAGUUCUACUAUUGAUGCCCUUGCGGCAAGGAUAGUGGUGUGUGAGAGUGGCCAAGGAUCCUACUGAGGAGCUGACGGCUCUAAAGGCCAUUAUUGUUGAGCUGAGGAGAGAUGUGUACCAGCUGAAGUCCACCGACAUGUCGAUGAUUUUCGGGAUGGUGGAGAUCCUUGAUAUGCCAGUUGAUCCAGAUAUGCCUCUGGCUACCACCGGAGAUGAGCUUCGAACUGAGGAGGUAGCUACUGCCGAGUCUGAUGUUGAGACCGAUGAGGAGUAGUUGGGUGUUGAUGAGGACCCAUUCUUAUUGUUUCAUUGUUCCUAUUUGAGACAUGGAUGAACAUGAACAAACUCGAAUUACUUCAAGUGGUAGUUCUCAAAGUUGAGCAAAGGGACAAGGUAGAAGAGCAAGUCGUCGUAAGACAUAUUUCCAAGGGCGUGAAAUAAUACAGAUUGGUGUCCCAAGGGUGACAAAAAAUUUGUCAAGGAAUCAAAGGGCCAUUCAAAGGGAAAAAGAGAAAUCUUUUAAAGAAUUUAAGUCUUUGAAGAUGUCCCCUAAUAUUUCAGCACGUGAUUUUAUUCACCUUUUUGAAAUAAAAUAGGCAGAACUGGCUAAUUAUAAGGAAAUUUCAUAUUGGAGAGCCUUAGCUUAUUUAACAGACGCUCUUCGUGAACCUUGGGGUAGUAGAUUGACUGAUGUUUAUCAUGACAUUUGGCCCAGUCGGCCUUUUAUGGUGUAUAUUUGUUGUCUUGAAGACUUGUAGGAGGAUUUUAGUCUUUGAAUUACUUGUAAUUUGUUAUUGCUUAUUUGUCUUUUAAGAUAUGAAUUAUGUAGUUUUUUUUUUCUCUAUUUAUGUUAUUAGACUUAAAAAUUCUUGUUAUGAAAGUCUUCAAUAUAUUAGUGUACACAUUAAGAAGUUAGUUUCAAAUUUAGGUUAAAUAUUUAGUUCGUAGAUGAUGAUUGGAUGCAUAUGUGUCUUUUCAAUUUUACAUUAAAUACGAAACCUUUAUGAGAAUUGAUUUGCUUGAAUGUGUAUGUCACAUGCAUAAUUGAUUAAAAGUUCUUGCCUUAUUAUAUCUCAAUAACAGACAUGACAUCAAAAAGUAUCAUUGCUGACUUAAACAAAGGUGAAAAACUUAACGGUGACAAUUAUGACAUCUGGAGUCGUAAAAUAUGGUAUGUAUUCGAAGAGCAAAAUGAUCUGGAAGGUAUAAAUCAUGUUUUGAAUCAACUAGAAGAGGGUAAUUCUGCACAAUACACAAGGGAUCUUGAAGCUUUCAAAGCUUGAGAAAAAAGCUAAUUCCACUGCACGUGGAAUAAUAGUUAGUUUUGUGGUUGAUGACCUCAUACAUGAAUGUGAGGAAUUCCCUACUGCUCAUUCUAUGUGGGCAUAUAUGUGAGGAGCGUAUGUGGGUACAACUGUAACCCGCCUCCGACAGUUGACUAUCAAAUUUGAUACUUACAAAAAAUGUCAUGAUCAAAAUAUCAUACAACACCUUAGGGUGAUGUCAAACAUGAUAGCUCAACUCAAGAGUACUGGUCAUGUUCUUUCAGUUGAGCAACAGGUUCAGGCAGUGAUUCGAUCUCUUCCCAAUAAUUGGGAACAUUUGAAGGUUAACUUGACCCAUAAUAAUAGCAUCAAAACUUUUUCUGAUGUUGCACACCAUGUUGAACUUGAAGAUGAGUGCCUUAGUGCUGCUUCUAAUGCCUUUGUGGCAGAGUCAAGUGGUACAAAAUCUUCAGGCUUCAUGCGCAAGAAAAAUUGGAAAAGAAAUGGAAAAGACAAAGAGUCUGGAGAAGGACCCUCUAAGAAAAAAAAGAAGCCAAAUUCCAAGAAAGGAAAACAUUUUUUCAAGAAGAGAGACAAGAGCAAAAUAAAGUGCUACAAUUGCCAAGUAUUGGGGCAUUUUGCUCGUGAAUGUACUAAGCUGAAAAAGGUAGCAUUUCUAAAUGCAUCUCUAAGUGCUACAUAUAUUUCUAGCACUUCUUAACUAACUGAAUCUUAUCCUAUGUGAAUUGUAGACUCAGGAUACACCGACUACAUGAGUCGAGAUCGAGAAGUAUUUGUGGAGUUUUGUCAAGUUUCAUCUAAAUCAAGGUGGAUAUACAUGGGAAAUAAUGUGAAACUAGAAGUCAAAGGGAUAGGCACUUGAAAAGUAGACUUGUGUGGUGACCGUUCUUUGAUGUUGCAUGACGUCCUAUAAGCACCAGACAUUUGACAAAACUUAGUAUUUGUGAAUGUUCUUUUAGACGUUGGUUUUGAUUUGUUUUUUAGUCGUAAUGGUGCUAGAAUAACUCUAGAUAAUGUUUUAUAUGGUUUUGGAUUUUGUUAUGACUGUUUUAUCGUAUUAGAUUGUAAUCCUUCAACUUAUGACUAUUAUGUUGACCGUUGUGUAAUGACAUGUUAUUCAAGUAACAAUGAUAUUAAUGUUAUUACAUGGCAUGCAAGAUUAGGUCACAUAGGGAAAGAUUGAAUGGAUAGGUUGACAAAAGAAGGACAUUUAGGUUCUUUCACCAAAAUUGAUAUGCCAACUUGUGAAAAUUAUCUUGCUGGAAAGAUUACGCGUAAACCAUUUGGGAAGGCUAAAAGAGCUGAGUUCCCACUUCAAUUAAUUCAUUCUAAUAUUUGUGGUCCAAUGAACGUAAGGGCAAGGUUUGAUGCAACAUACUUCAUUACAUUUAUUGAUGAUUUCACGCGCUUUGGUUAUGUCUAUUUGAUAUCUCAUAAAUUUGAAGUACGUGAGUGCUUUAAAAGAUAUAUAUGAAUGAAGUUGAAAAUCAAUUAGAUAAAAGCAUAAAAGCUUUAAGAACCGAUCGAGGACGUGAAUAUUUGUCAAAACAAUUUGAANNNNNNNNNNNNNNNNNNNNNNNNNNNNNNNNNNNNNNNNNNNNNNNNNNNNNNNNNNNNNNNNNNNNNNNNNNNNNNNNNNNNNNNNNNNNNNNNNNNNNNNNNNNNNNNNNNNNNNNNNNNNNNNNNNNNNNNNNNNNNNNNNNNNNNNNNNNNNNNNNNNNNNNNNNNNNNNNNNNNNNNNNNNNNNNNNNNNNNNNNNNNNNNNNNNNNNNNNNNNNNNNNNNNNNNNNNNNNNNNNNNNNNNNNNNNNNNNNNNNNNNNNNNNNNNNNNNNNNNNNNNNNNNNNNNNNNNNNNNNNNNNNNNNNNNNNNNNNNNNNNNNNNNNNNNNNAAAAUUGAAAUGCCAACUUGUGAAAAUUGUCUUGCUAGAAAGAUUACGCGUAAACCAUUUGGGAAGGCUAAGAGAGUUGAGUUCCCACUUCAAUUAAUUAUUUAUGAUAUUUGUGGUCCAAUAAACGGAAGGGUAAGGUCUGGUCCUACAUACUUCAUUACAUUUAUUGAUGAUUUCACGCGCUUUGGUUAUGUCUAUUUGAUAUCUCAUAAAUUUGAAGUACGUGAGUGCUUUAAAAGAUAUAUAUGAAUGAAGUUGAAAAUCAAUUAGAUAAAAGCAUAAAUGCUUUAAGAACUGACCGGAGACGUGAAUAUUUGUCAAAACAAUUUGAAAAAUUAUGUAUUGAAAAGGGUAUUAUCAGACAGUUAACUAUUUUUUAUACACCACAACAAAAUGGUGUAGCUGAAAGAAGAAAUAGAACAUUAUUAGACAUGGCAAGAUCAAUGAUAGCGUAGGCGAAUUUGUCUAUCUCUUUCUGGGGAGAUGCAUUAUUGAUUGCGGCUUACAUAUUGAACAAAGUGCCUUCUAAAUCAGUGUCUUCCACUCCUUAUGAACUUUGGACUAGUCUGUGGGGGUUGUGCUACAUAUAUUAAAGAUCAUUUUUGUGAGUUUGGUAAACUAAGUCCAAAAGGAAAGAAAUGUAUCUUUAUAAGGUACUAUGAACGCUCCGAAGGGUAUGUGUUCAUCGAUGAACUGGAGGAUGGAAGUAUUACUGAAAUUAUAUCACGGGGAUGUUAGAUUUUAAAAAAAUAUUUUUUCCAAAAAGGGUGAAAUAGAUGAAGUUGUUGAAUUCAGAAGAUUAGGUAAUGUUGUCAGGCAUACUUGAUAAUUUAAAGGAUCAAGAAAUGAUUCUUGGUCCAAGUGGGAGUUAUGAAUCCCAAAAUCCUAUAGAGGAAUAUGAACUUCAAAUACGUAAGAGUACAAGAAAAGGUGUACCUAAACGAUCUUAUCAGAUUGAGGAUUAUGUUUUCUUGGUAUCUCCUAUAGAAUUGGAUGAACCUAAUUCUGUAACUGAGGCUUUAUCAAGCCCUAAAAGAGAUGAAUGAUUAAAAGCGAUGAAAGAAGAAUUAGAGUCCAUGAAAACUAACAAAGUCUGGGAUCUAGUUGACCUUCCAAAUGAAUGUAAAGCUAUUGGGAAUAAAUGGAUUCUCAAAGUUAAACGCAAAAUGGAUGGAUCAAUAGAAAGACACACAGUACGAUUGGUGGCAAAAAGUUUUACUCAAAAAGUUGGAAUAGACUAUGAGGAAACUUUUUCACUAGUUGUAAAGUUUACCUCCAUAUGAUUACUUUUAGCUAUUGUUGCACGUUUAGAUCUAGAAUUACACCAAAUGGAUGUGAAGACUACUUUUCUCAAUGGAGAAUUAAACGAGGAAAUUUACAUGGAACAACCAAUAGGUUUCGUUGCUAAAGGCCAAGAAAAGAAAGUUUAUAAAUUGAAAAGAUCAAUUUAUGGCUUAAAGCAAUCUUCAAGGCAGUGGUACCUGAGAUUUCAUAAGAAGGUGAUGUCAUUUGAUUUCACCAUGAUUGGUGAAGACCAUUGCAUCUAUGUGAAAAAUUCCAAUGAAAAUUUUAUAAUUCUUUUUCUCUACGUAGAUGAUAUUUUAUUAGCUGGAAAUCAUUUGGAGUAUGUGAAAACUGUAAAGUCAUGGCUUUCAAAAUUAUUUGAUAUGAAAGAUAUGGGUGAAGCAGACCAUAUAUUGGGUGUUAAGAUCCAAAGAGAUCGUUCCAAGAAAAUUUUAAGCUAAUAUCAAGAAACUUAUAUAAAGAAAAUAUUGGAACGUUUUUUAAGGAGUGAAACUUUAAGCCUUGAAAUGUGUCCAAAGACUGAAAAAGAAAAGGAAUACAUGUCUCGAGUUCCUUACUCUAGUGCUGUCGGGAGUUUGAUGUAUGCUAUGAAGUGUACUCGCCCAGACAUUUGUAAUGUCGUGAGUCUAGUUAGCAGGUAUCAUUCCAAUCCUGAAAGAGAUCAUUGGAAAUAUGUAAAAAGAAUAUUUUGAUACCUGAAGGGAGCUGCAGAUCAUACACUAUGUUAUAAUGGAUCUGAUUUAUUCAUAAGAGGUUAUACAUAUGUUGAUUGGGCUGGUGACCGGAAUGAUAGAAAAUCAACAUCUGGUUAUGCUUUCUUACUAAAUGGUGGUGCUAUUUCAUGGAAAAGUAAGAAGCAAACUUGCACAACCCUUUCAACCAUGGAAUCUGAAUUUGUGGCUUGUGCGUCUACAGUAUAAUAAGUUGUUUGGUUAAAGAGAUUCUUUGAGCAUUUGAGUAUUGCAAAGAAUUCUAAGAGUCCCAUGAUUCUAUAUUGUGAUAAUCAAGCGACUAUCGCAUACACGAAGGAUCCUAAGUAUCACAGCAAGACCAAACAUAUUGACAUCAAGUAUAACUUUGUAAGAGACGUAGUGGCAAGUGGAGAAAUAACUUUGCAGUACAUUCCUACACGUGAAAUGAUAGCUGAUCCUUUUACAAAAGUCAUCUCUAGAGACUUGUUUGAAAUACAUGUUAAGGCUCUAGGUUGGGUAGGAUUUGAUGUUAUUUCAGUAUUGUAAAAUAACUUAAUUGUCAUAAUAUGCUCUUUUAUAUAAUACUACUGGAUUUAUCUUCAAAUAUAAUAUGCAUGCGAUAAUUUGUAAGAAAUAAAGUGUGUCGAACAAGUCGUGAGAUUGACUCCCUCACACGAGUAAUCGUCUCUUACGUCAAGAAACGUGAAGAGAUGAAUUUCACCAUCAUAUUAUGACUUUGUUUUAUGAGCCAGAUAAAAGUUUCUCUAAGAAAAUGAAUUUAAGGAUCACUGAAGAGAGAAACUAGGGUUAAACAUUUAGAGGUGUUUAGACCAAAGUAUGUACGAUGUUAGAUAAUCGGAAGAAUGAGACACAUACACCAGUAUAAGGUGAAAACAUUGUAGCACGUGUUUCAUACCACGUGUGUCAAGCGAUCAAUGGGUCAAUGAAAGAAUGUUCCCUGCUUCUUCAUUGUGUGAGACCCCGAAAAGUUAAAAUGACUUUUCAAUGAAAUACCCUUUGACCUUUUGAUAUUUCUUAAAGUUUCAAUCGAUGUUGCUACUUUAGCAUGUUACUUAUAGCCAUGAAUGAUUCAGCAAUGCAGUGCAUAUCUAGGAAAGCAGUUGAAUAAGAACAUAUUGAUUCGAGUAGAAAGGAAAGACAAUUAAUUGAAUAAUAAACUUAUAUACACAAGCCGGCUAUUGCACUAACCAUAUUGGUAUUGAGUGUAAUUUUGUGUAUAAAGUAAAACAUGAACUCGAGUUAACCUCUUUAAGAGGAUGGGUGAUCGAAUAAAUAACUACUGAAGUAGUGAAUGAAGUCCGGAGUAUUGUGAGUUUGUAUUAUCAUAUAAGUAGUGAAUUCCUUCCACAUGUGAUUGGAUUCCUACGUGGGGCUUAUAAAACCUUCAAGGUAAUCUCUUGAUGCUCACAAGUCGCACAAGCUAUUUGUCGUAUGAAUUGUGUGUCUGUUAAUGUUGUGUUAGCUUGGGUCUUGUCCACCAUGUGCGAAGUGGGAGAUGUAAGUUUUGGGUCGUGGAUCGCCCAUGUGGACCAACCCGACCCGAUCUUACCCGAUCAAAGUUAUUUUCUAUAAAAUGGAUAAGUGAUAAUUUUAAAAAAGGAUGGGAACAAUUACAUAGUAACUGCUCCAACGUAAACAUUCCAUUUUUUUUAAAUAUAAAUUUUACGCUCUUCAAAAAGAAAAAAAGAAGAAGAAAACAAAAACAGAAAACUCAACAAAAGGUAACAGUUUCUUCUAAGAAAAAAAGACAUCCAACAAAAGAGGCAUUUAGUUUGUGAAACAAAAUUUUGUUUCCUAGUGAUACAAAGAAGGAUUUGGAGCAAGUCAUUCAGUUCAUGAAACUCAUUCAACUGCAAACAAUUAAAGGUACACAAAUCUUGUACCAAAAUAUUGUUUAAAUCUUUCAGUUCACACCAAUUUACUAUGGUCUUGCUAUAAAAGUAUGAAGAAAUAAUGUCUAAGGUCUACCCAGAGAGUAUGUAGAAAUAAUAUCUAAGAUUAUCCUUUUAUGAAUUUCACAUGAUGUAGAGUGAGCAUGUAUUCAAUUCAUUUCAUCUUCAUUGAUGGGUCGAUGAUGUGCACUAAUUUGUACUUUACAUUUUCUCAUAUUUUGAUUGAUUUUCGUUCUAAAUGACAAGCCCCUAGCUGUUGAAUCAUACUUUUCUUUGAGUUUUAAUUUAGCUUUUGCAAUGAGUGAAAAUUAUAGAGUAUUUUAAAUGUAGUAAUCACACGAGUAACAAAUUAUUGUACACAAGAUAGAAUUAGCUUAGACUAUGCAGUGAAUUUCAAUUCAUCUGACUACGAUGCUCACAUUUUUUUGCUAUAAACCAAAAUGUUCUAAAAGCAAACUAAUGGCAUGUAGAUGCAAGGUAUAGGAGGAACAUGAAAUGUUGCUGUAGAAAAGGGGUAAGAGACUUUCUCAACAACAAGGUGAUUCAAAUAUAUUUCUUUCACUUUUGCAGAUAGUUGACUGCUUCUCAUGAUGAUACAUAUAAUUGCUUUGAGCCUAAACCAUACAAUUCAAUGCCAUAGGGAAGUGUGAGAUAUGAUAUACAUUCACUUGUUAAAAAAAUAUGAGUGAAGAGGAGAUGAAUGGAGGAGAGUAAGGGAUGUAAAUAGAACUAGGAAAUCGCAUAAUGAAGUAUCUUUAAGUUCUAUAUGAACAUAGUGUUACUAUUUAAUUUCAUUGUGAAUUGCUUACCUUUUCUCAUUUAUUUAGAUCUUGAGUAGCAGCUAGCAAUAUCAAUUGAUUUCAAAUGUAAUAUGGUUGGAUAAAAUAUCUAUUUCAUAUUGGACCUGUGCAAGCACUGGAUUAGUAUUUAUAUGCAGAAGUAAAAAUUUAAAAAACAAAAACAACAUGUAUUUUCAAAUGAAUUUUUUUUAAUAUUAAAAUAUAUACUCAUAUAUUUUCCUAGUAAUUUCCAAUUCAACGAAGGAAAAGGAAAAGGAGAAAAUGUGGACGCGCUAUUAAAUGCGCGUAUAUCCUAAUAGGAACCGCUCAACUACAGCCACGUCAUUGUCUCUGUUUAGUUUUUUUUUUUGUUUUUUUUAUGUUUCCAAGACCGCCUUUGAUUUCUUUAUAAGCCCUUCUCCCUUUCUCCCUUUCCAUCUCCACAAAUAAACUUGCUUCUGUUCUUUCUUCCUAUAUCCUAUAUAUAUAAUAUUUAUUUUGUUCCAUUAUACCUCAAUUAAUUUUUUUAUCCGAUCUAUUCCGAUGGCCGGAGUUGCCCUUCUUCAACCACAAGAUGUUCUCAAACAUCAUGUAAGCUAUCGUCAACCUAUGAGAUCUCGACGGAAUUCCACUUCUAACCCUCUACCAAAUCCUAACCCUAACCCUAAGAAUAACCGAAGAAAGCGAAGUCCACAAAAAAAUGGAUCUGCUAACUUUUCAACUUGUCCUCCUAGUGCUAAAAAUCUCCAUCUGGUGAUGGGAGAGGUGAAAAUUCUGAAGCGUGGUCAAGUGUUGAAGGAAAACAAGCUUGUCACUGGUGAAGAUCUGGUGUUGUCCACUUCAGAUCGGCUGGGUCCAGAGCCGGAUAUGGUGCCUAAGAACAUAACGAUUGCUCAUUUCUAUGCUGGAUCGGGUUUCUCCUCCUCCUCGCCGCCACCGAGCUCUUUGCCUGUGCCGGCUUUCUUCAAGAAGGAAAGUGAACAUAACCUCCACGCUACAAGCGACUUGAGGCGUCUUCUCAGGAUCGAUCUGGCCGACUAAUUGAACAGUUAUGGGAUGUUUCAAUGACGACGACGACGACGAUAGAGUCUUAAGUUUGUGUUUUGCUCCCGGCUCGUGAAAGCUUCCCUUAUUUUUUCAAGGGGAAGGACGAGUUGGUCAAGCAAUUUAUCAUAUUUUCUUAUUUAGGUCUUUUAAUUUACCUUUAAUUAUAGCAGAAAAGUAGAUCUAGUUAGGCUGUUGAUUUGGGCUGUAUAGUCUAGUCAUAAGUUUGGGUUUUUCCGUUUUAAUCGCCUGCUAUAUUAUUGUAGCGUCAGUUGGUCUAGUUUCAGUCGGCUAGUGGUUUAGAGCCAUUAGCAUAUCCUUCUGUAAUUUAUGUCUCUUUGAUUUUAUAUGUAGCUUCAGCAGUAAUUAGAAAUAUUAUUACUUUUGUGUCAUUACACUGUUGUGCUUCCGGUAUAUCAUAUGAUUUUUCUGCUGUUAUGAGCUUUUUAUUGUAUUGUAAAUUUUUUUGCUUUUGUUCUGUCCUUGAUAAGUCUCUCUUUUAUAUCAUAUGAAUCAGUGUAACAAAUUAACUUUGUGUCUCAUUGUUUUGUGCUAACAAAAUCAUCUAAUAGUGGAAAUCUGCAUGUUUUAAUCUUUCACCAUCACAUUAUUUGGAUGGUUAAUUGGUAAGGCCUCAUUUCAUUUGUGAUGUUUUUCAUGUUUUGUUAGUUGUGAAACUGAAACUGCUUUAAUUCUUAAUAUAGUUUGGCAGAUUUAUCAUGGUCUGGAGCUCUGGAAAGUCCUUUCAGAUAUAAGUUGCACUGCAAAUAUUUUUCUGCUGAGGUUCAAAUCUUACUUCCAAAUGUAUAGGCUUUCUCUUGUUUGCUUUUCUGUAUGCAUUCUUUGAGCAAAAGUUUUAUCUUUUGGCUGAAUUCUUGGAUCAGAAUGUCCUUCUGUCACCCGUAUGUGCUAACUCAUGUGAUUUUUCACAUAUAAUGUAGGAAUCUGUGGCAACAGACGGUGGGCUACAUUUGCCAAAGCAAAAGAGUGAGAACUAUCUAAUCUUGUACAGCUGUGAAAAUUUUCAAGUCUGAUAGUUGACAAAGUGAAGAGCAGAACUCUUAAUGGGCAACAGGAGGGGAAGUGGAGUGUAGCCAAUGAAUGCAAAAUUGUCAUGGCUGCAUGUGUUGUCUGGGUAGUAUCCUCAAAAUCAGACCUUGAGCUAUGUUGGUUUAUUUGAUUUAAGCUUAUUUACUUUGAUUUUCAUACUUAAUUUUGCUAUUUGAUUUUUCGUCUGAUUUAUUCAUCAGUUAGUACGUGUGAUUUUAGUGUAGUUACUUUAGCAGUUCCCUUUUAAAUCUGCUUUUCUAGAAGUAGGUGUUAUUAACUGUAUGCUUCUGUAUUAUUCAUUCAAGUAGGGUUAUCAACUGUAUGCUUUUCCAUGUAUUAUCCAUUCGUGUGCAAGCAUGGAUACAUCUCUCACUAACCUUCUGCUCUCCAAACCCCUCCCUCAACCAUGAAAUAAGAGAGAAAAAUAGAACAUAUGAAAGGAUUGAUCAGUUCCUUCCGUCUGAAAGGUUGACUUGCAUGAUAUGCUACUAUGGUCAGAAUAGAUAUAUAUAUUUCUAACUCUAUAGUAAGUACCGGUCUCCAAGUCCUUUGUCAUCCAGGGUUAUGUUGGUAAUUUCAAUUUGAAACCCCUUGUAAAACCAAUAUAGGAAAGAUUCUGUUCUAAAUUGAUAUUAGUACACGCGUAUUUUCUUAUGAUACCUGUUUCACACUUCUCUUCCUUCAUAUCAAUAGUCAAUACUUUGUUGAGUCUGCUAAAGUCCCCCAUUUUCAUUUCCUUCUCUUACAUUUGUUUCUCCUUUGCUUAUGGUUUUCCUUUUAAGGUUGUUUUUGGAAAUUUUUUACUGUCAUGCUUUUUCAGUUCUCUUUGGUUUUCACUCUUUUUUACCACUAAGUCAGCUCUUGUUGUGCUGAAAUAAAGCCUUGACAAUCCCAAAUGCUACCCUACAAACAUCAAAUGCAAGCCAAACAAGUAAAUGCAACUCUUCACUCGCUGUUUGUGUUACCUUCUUACAUAACCUUCUGUUACAAGGCAUUCACAGUAGAAUCUUUAUGUGAAAUCAACUUGGUACAUACAAAGUUUGUUCUCCAGCUUAUAUACUGUAUGAACAAGAAUUGUUGGCAACUCUUUUUUACUUCAAAGCUUCAGUUGAUUUUGUAAUUUUAAUUUGAACAUUUGAUACGUCAAGAGUAAAUGCAACUGUAAUAAACAUGAUACCAGAAACUAUUCUUGGAAUGCAUAUCUUUGGUGUUGAGAAUAGGUCACACAACUUGAGUUAAUUAAAAUCUCCAUUUCUUUUUGCUACUUUCAACUUCUCUACAAAAGUAUUGUAACCACCAUUUCCCUUUUAGUGUCUUCAGGUUUUCUACAUAGCUCCUAAACAAGUGUGGUCAGUGUAGAGCUGUGUUUGCUUCUACAUUAUGACAAGGUAAUGCUAGUGUGCGGUGAGCGAGCAUGCUCUGUGUACAAUUAAGCAAAGAGUUGCUGAAGGUUGGAACGGAAUAUCGUAUGUAGUGUUGAAUGCAAUCUGAACCUCCUUUUACUUUCAGCCCUCAGCUUGGUUCUUCUUCCUCUUUCCUUUUUGUUCACAAUUUUUUCUUAUGUUUUUAUUAAUUUCGGUGUUAUUCAUUUUUGCUCUUUUUGGGUUUUUAAAACACCAACAGAGCUUCAAUAUUGCAAUUGAUCAUUGAGAUGUUGAAUUGUCUGCCUUUUAUUUUCAUUAAGGAGUUAAAAGUUUAAUUGUAUCAUUUGAAAUUGGGUUUUAAGAUAUCAAAUAAAGUUUGAUUUCAGGGAUGGACCAAACAAUUUGAAAGUUCCGGGUAUACAUGAAAAGAACUACAUAGAAGUUGCUUGAUGAGUGCCUCACACUGAGAGGGUAAGUCAUGAAAAUCAGAAAAUUUCUUCACCUUUAUUUAUAUCAAUACUUAGGUGCAUCUUUGUUUCUUGCUUUGAUUUCCUAGAAUAGUAUUUUGAGUAUGAAAAAUGGGUCCUUCAGAGUGAAAUUGAUGUUUAUAAAUCAAAUUACCGAAUAUAUUUUUCAAAAAUAAAUAAUCAUCGGUGUAUAUGACUGGAGAAGAAACUCAGACAUCUGAGAAAAAUAUUCUUAUUGGGUUUUCAGUAGACGGGACCUUACUUAAAUUGACAUUUUCAUGCAAAUUAGUUGCACUCUUUGGUGCUUAUACGUGGGGUAGUAGGCUUAGUAGUUAUCUUUAUGCUUUAUGUAACACCUCUGGAUCUUCGAUGACUAUUUAUCAAAAUUGAAAUGUUUCCUCAUCUUAUUUCUUUUAAAAGGCUGAUUCUAUGUCCUCUAUAGUCAUGUUACAAUCAAUCGUCUGUCCAAUGGUGAGGAGCCAAAUUAUCUCUCUGCAAGUAUGGAAAUGAUACGUGGUACACCCGAUUCUUGACGAACUCGAGAGGCAAAGAGAAUGGUUGGGUGGCGAGGCAUCACUUCUUACAAGGUUUGAUGCUAUUUUAUUGGUUGGGUGGCAAGGCAUCACUUCUUACAAGGUUUGAUGCUAUUUUA
Molecule: long non-coding RNA, 42905 nt
Filed under: Solanum tuberosum (potato)
Lineage: Eukaryota; Viridiplantae; Streptophyta; Magnoliopsida; Solanales; Solanaceae
Description: long non-coding RNA (STUB_LNC008084)
Source: RNAcentral